GUGGGGAAUCUUGCGCAAUGGGCGAAAGCCUGACGCAGCCAUGCCGCGUGGAUGAUGAAGGUCUUAGGAUUGUAAAAUCCUUUCACCGGUGAAGAUAAUGACUGUAGCCGGAGAAGAAGCCCCGGCUAACUUCGUGCCAGCAGCCGCGGUAAUACGAAGGGGGCUAGCGUUGCUCGGAUUUACUGGGCGUAAAGGGCGCGUAGGCGGACAUUUAAGUCAGGGGUGAAAUCCCGGGGCUCAACCUCGGAACUGCCUUUGAUACUGGAUGUCUUGAGUGUGAGAGAGGUGUGUGGAACUCCGAGUGUAGAGGUGAAAUUCGUAGAUAUUCGGAAGAACACCAGUGGCGAAGGCGACACACUGGCUCAUUACUGACGCUGAGGCGCGAAAGCGUGGGGAGCAAACAGGAUUAGAUACCCGUGUAGUCC
Molecule: ribosomal RNA, 425 nt
Filed under: uncultured bacterium
Lineage: Bacteria
Description: partial 16S ribosomal RNA
Rfam family: Bacterial small subunit ribosomal RNA
Source: RNAcentral